Molecule: long non-coding RNA, 630 nt
Filed under: Harpegnathos saltator (Jerdon's jumping ant)
Lineage: Eukaryota; Metazoa; Arthropoda; Insecta; Hymenoptera; Formicidae
Description: uncharacterized LOC112589618, transcript variant X4
Source: RNAcentral
AUAAAGAACUGAUCCUAUAUCUCAAUUCGCAGUGCAGAGCGACGAUUUUGACUUAUAGAUUCAAUUUCUACGCGUCAAAAUACACAAUAUAUAUGGUAUAUGUCGUAAUCGGCAUUUCGAAAGGCCUCUGCGUUCCGAGUUCCAAACUCAAAUGCAAGCGGCCUUACGAACAGCUAGGGAGCGGCACAGGCACAGAAGACGAGGGACAACGGCAGGAGGACCAAGGAUCCAGAGGGACUUAUGGGGCGACGAUCGUGAGGAAGAACAAGAGGAAGAGCCCGAAAAUACAUAAAGAAACAAGAAGGAAAUAAACGGGUAUUUACAGAUGCGACAAUCCACGGUCACAGGAGUGAGGGAUUGCCACAGGAGAGAGGGAUUGCUGCAGGAGAGAGGGAUUCCACAUACAUGCUCACACACGCACACACAUACACGCACACACACAUCACACGUAUUUCGCAGGGUCACUUGUGAAGUAGCGUGCUGCUCCUACGCCUCACAUCACACACAUACACCACACAUACUCUACCCGAAGAAGGUGGAGCAAAUCAGCACUUUUCAGUGCCACAUUUUUAAGACGUUGACGUUGAUACUGUAAUAUAUAUGGCUCUAAUAAAAACAUUUAUAUUUUUA